Dipodomys ordii (Ord's kangaroo rat) is the source of this 120-nucleotide small nuclear RNA. NCBI's taxonomy places the organism in Eukaryota, Metazoa, Chordata, Mammalia, Rodentia, Heteromyidae. The record is from Ensembl.
GUGCUGUAUGAAAGGAAGACGGUUGGAACUCCCUUUGACAAGGAUGGAAGAGGCUCUUGUCCCUAGCAACAUCAUACGGUGGAAUCUAACCAUCUUGAUGGUGGGAGUGCAAACUUGUUC